This 268-nucleotide non-coding RNA is filed under the name Gossypium arboreum. RNAcentral describes it as "Bacterial large subunit ribosomal RNA". It matches the Rfam family "Bacterial large subunit ribosomal RNA", at positions 46 to 339 of the family's 2925-position model. Lineage: Eukaryota; Viridiplantae; Streptophyta; Magnoliopsida; Malvales; Malvaceae. The record is from Rfam by way of RNAcentral.
ACAAGGAAGGGCAUAGUAAGUGGUGAAAUGCUUUAGCAAGUUGAAAAUAAGCAUAUUCGAAGAUUCUCGAAUAGGUCAACCUUUUGAAUUGCUACUGAAUCCAUGGGUAGACAAGAAGCAACUUGGAAAACUGAAACAUCUUAGUACUCGAAGGGAAAAAAAAAAGCAAAAGUGAUUCUCGUAGUAGCGACAAGUGAAAUGGGAGCAGCCUAAACCAUGAAACGCGAUUGUUGAAGAGCAAUAAAAGCAUUUUGCUGCUAGGCAAAGU